This 394-nucleotide ribosomal RNA is filed under the name uncultured bacterium. Its description in RNAcentral is "bacterial SSU rRNA". It matches the Rfam family "Bacterial small subunit ribosomal RNA", at positions 28 to 419 of the family's 1533-position model. The record is from RNAcentral.
GAUUAACGCUAGCGGCAGGCCUAAUACAUGCAAGUCGAACGGCAGCACGGGUAGCAAUACCUGGUGGCGAGUGGCGCACGGGUGCGUAACACGUAUGCAAUCUACCUUUAACUGGGGGGACAACUCCGAGAAAUCGGGGCUAAUACCCCAUAACAUCCCGAUAGGACAUCCUAUCGGGAGCAAACCUACGGGGGUUAAAGAUGAGCAUGCGCCCGAUUAGUUAGUUGGCGGGGUAACAGCCCACCAAGACAGCGAUCGGUAGGGGAUCUGAGAGGAUGAUCCCCCACACGGGUACUGAGACACGGACCCGACUCUACGGGAGGCAGCAGUAAGGAAUAUUGGACAAUGGAGGCAACUCUGAUCCAGCCAUGCCGCGUGAAGGAUGAAUGCGCUA